This 1400-nucleotide ribosomal RNA is filed under the name Vibrio cholerae. RNAcentral's name for it is "partial 23S ribosomal RNA". It matches the Rfam family "Bacterial large subunit ribosomal RNA", at positions 1547 to 2925 of the family's 2925-position model. The record is from RNAcentral. Lineage: Bacteria; Pseudomonadati; Pseudomonadota; Gammaproteobacteria; Vibrionales; Vibrionaceae.
UCUCUAAGGCUGAGACACGACGUCGAGCUACUACGGUAGUGAAGUCAUUGAUGCCAUGCUUCCAGGAAAAGCCUCUAAGCUUCAGAUAGUCAGGAAUCGUACCCCAAACCGACACAGGUGGUCGGGUAGAGAAUACCAAGGCGCUUGAGAGAACUCGGGUGAAGGAACUAGGCAAAAUGGUACCGUAACUUCGGGAGAAGGUACGCUCUUGAUGGUGAAGUCCCUCGCGGAUGGAGCUGACGAGAGUCGCAGAUACCAGGUGGCUGCAACUGUUUAUUAAAAACACAGCACUGUGCAAAAUCGCAAGAUGACGUAUACGGUGUGACGCCUGCCCGGUGCCGGAAGGUUAAUUGAUGGGGUUAGCGCAAGCGAAGCUCUUGAUCGAAGCCCCGGUAAACGGCGGCCGUAACUAUAACGGUCCUAAGGUAGCGAAAUUCCUUGUCGGGUAAGUUCCGACCUGCACGAAUGGCGUAAUGAUGGCCACGCUGUCUCCACCCGAGACUCAGUGAAAUUGAAAUCGCUGUGAAGAUGCAGUGUACCCGCGGCUAGACGGAAAGACCCCGUGAACCUUUACUACAGCUUGGCACUGAACAUUGAACCUACAUGUGUAGGAUAGGUGGGAGGCUAUGAAGACGUGACGCCAGUUGCGUUGGAGCCGUCCUUGAAAUACCACCCUUGUAUGUUUGAUGUUCUAACUUAGACCCGUUAUCCGGGUUGAGGACAGUGCCUGGUGGGUAGUUUGACUGGGGCGGUCUCCUCCCAAAGAGUAACGGAGGAGCACGAAGGUGGGCUAAUCACGGUUGGACAUCGUGAGGUUAGUGCAAUGGCAUAAGCCCGCUUAACUGCGAGAAUGACGGUUCGAGCAGGUGCGAAAGCAGGUCAUAGUGAUCCGGUGGUUCUGUAUGGAAGGGCCAUCGCUCAACGGAUAAAAGGUACUCCGGGGAUAACAGGCUGAUACCGCCCAAGAGUUCAUAUCGACGGCGGUGUUUGGCACCUCGAUGUCGGCUCAUCACAUCCUGGGGCUGAAGUCGGUCCCAAGGGUAUGGCUGUUCGCCAUUUAAAGUGGUACGCGAGCUGGGUUUAGAACGUCGUGAGACAGUUCGGUCCCUAUCUGCCGUGGGCGUUGGAAGAUUGAAGGGGGCUGCUCCUAGUACGAGAGGACCGGAGUGGACGAACCUCUGGUGUUCGGGUUGUGUCGCCAGACGCAUUGCCCGGUAGCUAAGUUCGGAAUUGAUAAGCGCUGAAAGCAUCUAAGCGCGAAGCGAGCCCUGAGAUGAGUCUUCCCUGACAGUUUAACUGUCCUAAAGGGUUGUUCGAGACUAGAACGUUGAUAGGCAGGGUGUGUAAGCGUUGUGAGGCGUUGAGCUAACCUGUACUAAUUGCCCGUGAGGCUUAACCAU